UGCAGUCGAGCGGUAACAGAUCUAGCUUGCUAGAUGCUGGCGAGCGGCGGACGGGUGAGUAAUGCAUAGGAAUCUGCCCGAUAGUGGGGGAUAACCUGGGGAAACCCAGGCUAAUACCGCAUACGUCCUACGGGAGAAAGGGGGCUCCGGCUCCCGCUAUGGGAUGAGCCUAUGUCGGAUUAGCUAGUUGGUGAGGUAACGGCUCACCAAGGCGACGAUCCGUAGCUGGUCUGAGAGGAUGAUCAGCCACAUCGGGACUGAGACACGGCCCGAACUCCUACGGGAGGCAGCAGUGGGGAAUAUUGGACAAUGGGCGAAAGCCUGAUCCAGCCAUGCCGCGUGUGUGAAGAAGGCCCUCGGGUUGUAAAGCACUUUCAGCGAGGAAGAACGCCUAGCGGUUAAUACCCGCUAGGAAAGACAUCACUCGCAGAAGAAGCACCGGCUAACUCCGUGCCAGCAGCCGCGGUAAUACGGAGGGUGCAAGCGUUAAUCGGAAUUACUGGGCGUAAAGCGCGCGUAGGUGGCUUGAUAAGCCGGUUGUGAAAGCCCCGGGCUCAACCUGGGAACGGCAUCCGGAACUGUCAAGCUAGAGUGCAGGAGAGGAAGGUAGAAUUCCCGGUGUAGCGGUGAAAUGCGUAGAGAUCGGGAGGAAUACCAGUGGCGAAGGCGGCCUUCUGGACUGACACUGACACUGAGGUGCGAAAGCGUGGGUAGCAAACAGGAUUAGAUACCCUGGUAGUCCACGCCGUAAACGAUGUC
This 759-nucleotide ribosomal RNA is filed under the name uncultured Halomonas sp. RNAcentral's name for it is "bacterial SSU rRNA". It matches the Rfam family "Bacterial small subunit ribosomal RNA", at positions 56 to 813 of the family's 1533-position model. Lineage: Bacteria; Pseudomonadati; Pseudomonadota; Gammaproteobacteria; Oceanospirillales; Halomonadaceae. The record is from RNAcentral.